GAGUGUGGCCGAAUUCGGCCGGAAACGGCCGAAAACAGCCAACCCGAGGUGAAUCGCCGCCGCCAGCGGCGGCGCCGUCGCCGGAGCACGGCGGAGCCGCCGUGUCGGAGUUGCGAUUUGGGCCGAAAGGGGCCAUGGGCCUAAUUUGGGAUUUUUUUGGAACACGUGCAGGUACCAGUAGUGCGUUUCAGUUCCCCGAGGAAAAUUCAGGGAAAAUUAGGGACAGCCUGCAAGCGCACUGUGAAGCCGUGUUCGGACCCCGAAACGAGUAAGGACCCCUCACCUUAUUUCCUAUCACGGUUUUAAAGUUCAAUAAAUGAUAAAACGAUAUUUCAUGAAUCAACGAAUGUGUGAAAUUGCUUAGGGUCGCUAAUGGAGCCCGAGUCUAGUGUGUUUGUCGGUUAAUUGUUAUUUGGCAUGUUUUACAGUUUUAAACGUAGCAUGAGGUUCGAUGUUUUCAUUUUAUAGUUUCGUGUGCAUGUUUUACUGUUUUAUUGAUUAUGGAUUAAAUGACCGGAAUAUUGAUGCUGUAUGUUGUCUGCUUAGCAUAAAUUAUUGUUUUGCUUGCUUGUAUGUGGAUUAAUGAUGCUGAUUGAGGAAAAAGAGAACGAACAAUUAUGUAAAUGGAUAAUGGUAUAAUGUGAUCAGCCUGACUAGAUAUCCUGGGAGAUGGUGGACGGACCGGGUCCGUAGGGGACCCUACCGAGAUUGUGGUCUCCCAUACCGGACGGGGUAUAGAGAUCUUAUGUGUUUUGGCGCCCAUACCGGACGGGGUAUGGGGACGACCCGUUUCACCCUCAUAUCGGACGGGGUAAUGAGGUCUAUGGUUUGGUGCCCAUACCGGACGGGGUAUAGGGACGGCCCUGGAAUUUGAUUUCAAGUAUUACGGAUUUACGGGUAGCGGGACCCCUAUGGAUCCCCAUGGAUACUAGUGGGCUGGUGAAUUAAGAAAAUAUGUUGUGUAACGAUUGAAUUACGAAAAGUGUGAUAGGUAUUAUGUUAUACAGUUCAUAUAUAUGUUUCCAUGAUGAUAAUGAUGUUAUUGCUUUCGUAUAUUGUUUUAUAAAUUCCACCGAGGUAAGUGGAUGGUAAAGGUUUUAUUAUUAAUAAAAGGAUUUGUCGUAAAUCAUGCUCCAUUGGUAUUUUGUGUUUUUCUACCCACCUUUACCUCCGUGACGGUGAGAUAUCGUGAUGUCUUUACUGGGAUAGUGUAGCUCAUUCCUUAUUUAAUCAUUUUAGAUCAAGAGGACAUCGUUCCCGAGCCGGUCCCGCAGGAGGACGACGAAUGGGACACCUAAGGACUCCAUAGUCACAUUCGUAGUUUUUACUUUCAAGUUUCCCCUUUAGGUAGUUUAAUCUUUUAUAUUUUGUGAGCACGUUUUUGAUUUUCGUGUAAGGGAUGUUAUUUAAAUUUUGACUUCGCUUCCGCAUUUGUUAUUUAUAAUAUAAAUUCAAUUUUAAAUUUCCGGGGCUGCUA
Molecule: long non-coding RNA, 1477 nt
Filed under: Carica papaya (papaya)
Lineage: Eukaryota; Viridiplantae; Streptophyta; Magnoliopsida; Brassicales; Caricaceae
Description: long non-coding RNA (CPAP_LNC007766)
Source: RNAcentral